GAUAGUCCAUCACUAAGGAUGGAGAUGGUCUAGAUAAAGGUAUAAAUAUAGAUAAAGUAAGCUUACCAAAGCAGGAAUGCAUUUGUGCAUCAGGAUUAAAAAUCAUGUUAAUUCUGUAGGCUAAUCUAACUGUGAUGUGUCUCUGAGCUUCUUGCCAGCCAAGGUAAAAAGGGAAAGAAGAUAAAAUCACAGAGCAGCAUUUUUACGUGUGACAAAGUGGACAGUCAACCGCAAUUGUAGAACAAAGGCAGAAGUGGUUUUCACAACAAAUCUUAAUGAAAACUGAGGGCAUAGUAUUCACCUGCAUUCAGUGAAGACAGCUCUGCAAAGCCCUGCGGGGCCAGUGCUCCCAGGGUGUAGCCUGACAGGGGAUAGGACUUAGAAUGCUUAACAGAGUGGGUGUGUCACCACUCUCUCUUCCCUAAAUGCGAUUUCUCUGGCUGGGCUUUUGACAAGGAGUUGUUUACGGAUACUUUGAGGUGUUACUUCUUUUUGAGCACCUCGAGGCUGGUCUUCUAUAUCAUAGGUAGAUAGAGAACUUAUAUAAAAUUGUCCAUCCCUGUUCCUGGCAUCAAGUGGGAACUCUGUUCAUAUCUUUGCUUAUUUGUUUAUCUUUUUUGUUUGUUCUACCAUCCAUCCAUCCACCCAACCAUCUAUCCAUCCAUCUGUCCAAUCAUCUAUCCAUCCAUUUAUUCAUCCAUCCAUCCAUCCAUCCAUUCAUUCAUCCAUGUAUCCAUCCAUCCAAUCAUCUAUCCAUCCAUCCAUCCAUCCAAUCAUCUACCUAUCCAUCCAUCCAAUCAUCCAUCCAUCCAAUCAUCUAUCUAUCCAUCCAUCCGUCCAAUCAUCCAUCCCUGCCCUAAUUUUGGAAAACAGAGUAGGGAGCUGUGGUGGUUGACAUGUGACAUAUUUGAUGAUGUGUCUGUGAGAUGGAGGCUGCCAUCCUCCAUCCCCCAUAAAUCCUUGGUCCUCACCUGAGUUGUAAAGUCCUGUGGGACAGAGUGGAGGUGAACCGGCCUGGUUGUUUAUCGGGGGAGCUGUUGGUGAUGUAUGGAUGGGCCAAGCUGUGGGAGAGAAAUCUGAAAGGACACCCACGGAGUGCCCACCUAGUGAGAUGAGAGCCGUGCUGCAGGAAAGGCCUCACGUGUCCCUUUCAUACAAGGAAAACAGCCCACUGCCGACUCUUUCUCAGCUGUGUAUUUGUGCUGGAGGCCAUGCUUGUUUGCACAACCAGUUCUAUGGGUACGAGUCGACUUUUUUUCCUUUUCAGCACUAUGCUAUUCAGUUGCCAAGAAACACAUCAAUUGCUUAAUGUUUUAUCUAAUCCAUCCUGCCGAUGCUCUUGUAAUACGAUCCAUUUCUUUGUUCUUGGUUAAACCAAUCGUGUGACUAGAUAAUGUCUGAAAUUCUGCUCUUAACAUCUCCAACCUCCUUCUCCUGGGCGGGUGCACACACAUCCAUGAACACACACUCACGUGCACGCACAGGUGUGUAUACGUUUGAGGACCCGAAGCUUCAGAAAGAUAGAAAACAGCUCACAGCGGGCAUGGGCAUCCUCGGACGCCCUGAAGCCCCCCGUGACACCCCGCGGAGCUGGCCAGGCUGAGGAGCUGGCUUUGAAUCCUUGAGGAGCUGCGCGAUUCCGGCUAAUGAACUUCCCUAGUUUUCUGAAAGUUAACCAGAACAUCUUUUUUCUCAGUUGCCCAGGCUACUGAAAAUUUCCUAUGAUGCAGUAACCCCUCUUCUCACGUUAGCGAGCGUCACGGAUAGCUGAACCCACCUUUGGAUGACUGAGGCUCGCGAUAGCUGCGGACGGAGGCUCACUAAGGUGGGAAAGAGCUGGAUUAUGAAAUGAGAUGAGCCCGGAGUUAGAUUGCGGCUCUGAAUGCCACGUACAGGCCGUGGGACUGUAGACAACCUGACAACUUUUACCAACCUUGGUUUUAUUCACGGGCCUGCAGACGCAGAGAGGGUCACAGUCACCUGCUGGGGCUAGUGUGAGAGUCAGAAGUCACGUAGGUACGUUGCCGGGACUCAGCCUUCUGUGUGGGGGAGCAACUGCCGCCUGGCUUUUCUCGUUCCAGAGAGCACAGGAGGGGCAGACAGUUGUAAAAGGCCCAGGAAAUUAAAUUGAGUCCAAAGUGGCCUGUCCUCAGGACGGCCUUCUGAGAUGCUGAAUUCUCACGGCAGAACGGACGAUCUCAGUAUUUAGAAAACUGGGGUGUAGUGGGAAAGACCCACAUCUGGCGUGUCUAUCUGGUUUCACUCUGAAGAGCUGCUGGUGUCAGUGGGGGACGCAGGUGCCCGGAGCCCGCCGGGGUAAGGGCGUCUCCGGCCGUCACCGGGCUCGGCUGGCCCGCGAGGGAGGCAGGAGCGGCAGGGCGGGAGGCCUUAGCCCCGGCCCCACCGGGCGGUGACGGCGGCCGGGGGCAGAGCCGGCCCUCCCGCACCAAAGCCCGCGGCUGCCACCUGCUCCCCUGGCCACGGGGGCCCCGCCCUGCCCUCAGUGUGACGGGGGCUGCUGGCGUCUGGAAGAUGCCCUAUUGUCGUGCAGAGAGAGACUUGAAGCAGCAAACAAACAAAAAUGCUCCUCGGGCACCUGGGGUCUCUAGGAGCUUUUAAGGCAAAGGGCAUUUUGGUGAGUUACCAGCAAAGCUUAAACACGAGUUCGUGGCCUCAGAGACACCUGGGUGCAAACCGAGGGGGGCGGCGCGGGCAGCACGUGCCACUGUGAAGCUGCCUGCGUUGUCAGCUCCGCUGGUUCAAGACUCACGAGGGGAAGCCCCAGAUGACGGCGGCAAGAGGGACGGGGCCCCCAAGAAUCACAGCCCGCCGUGUCUCUAAGAGCAGAGCUGUGUUCAGCAGCUCUGACUGCGCCGAGCCGCAGCAGACGGCCAAGAUCUCGGAGCCCGCUCGGCAGUAACGAGCGGAGGCCACUUAAACGGCUCUCCUCCCAUUCUCCCGCUCAGAAACCCAUGGAAGCAUCCCCGACGUCUUCAGCUGAUCAGGUGUAGGAGGGACAAAACUUAGACGACGGAGAACAAAGAAACCCCCAGCCAACGGGCCCGGUCUCCCAGGCCUGUGCUGUUUUCCAAGGCUGGAUGUUUCAAUUGUUAAUUAAUUAAUCACAAAUUAGUAAAUGACAAGCAAUAAGUGAUAGGGCUAGACCGUGAUGUCCCGUGUUUCUAGAAGUGCUAAGUGGCUCUCCCCACAGCAGACUCUCCAUAAAUAUAAUGACGUGCCUACUGCAUGCCAAGUGCUCUGCCGGGCACCCUGGAGAUCACAGAGAAGCCCUCGGACUGGCGGGGGACGCAGGGGCGCCGUGCAGGGGCCCCUGGCCACCCCAGGCAGGAGGUGCCAGGUGUCUGGAGACGGGCCGGCCGGCAGGUCCGGGAGCCCCUGGACCAGGAAGCGAGUUGGCUGGGAGUUUGUUUGCUCCUUGUGAGUGUCAUGCAUUGAUUCCGGUGGGAGAAAUUCCAGCUGGAUAAGAGAUGCAUUCCAGCCAGGGACAGUUUUAAACUUCAAGGAGAGAUUUUUAAGGGUGUCAGGAGAGACCUGGGGAGGAGGAACCAUUCCCCACCUGGAAUUUUGAUCCAAAGGGCCUGUGCUUGCAAAGGGGAAGGGCCACGAUUCCCUUGUCCCAGGACGUCACCUCUGUGACAUUAAAUGGCUACCAGAACAGGGAGGGCACCCCUCGCAGUCACGUGCACAGUCAGCAUAUCCAACGGAGGACAGAUAAGCGUCCAAUCAAAGCAGGACCUGGCUACCUUCUAGCUGUGUGGCUUUGGGUGGAUAAAUUAACCUCUCUGAGCCUCAGUUUCUUCUUCUGUAAAAUAGAGCUGCUCUGAGCAUUAUAGGGUGACGUGGGCAAGGCGUCCAUCACGGGCCCGGCACAUAAUCAGUGGUCAUUCUCUUAGUGCCCCUCCCCAGUCACUCUCACCCGCAUAGCUGCGCCGGCAGGGAGUGAAUUCAGCUCACAGGCAGCCGCUGCAUGAGCGUGUCUUACGAGCCCGGGCUGUCUCAUUUCACCCUCCCAACUUUCUGUGCGACACAGAUGCUAUGUCACCAUUUUCUAGAGGGGAUUGUUGGGGCCAGAGAUGAAGAUGUGAAACCAGGCCCUUGAGGUCUCCCUGGGCAUUCUGCCCAGCGGCUCCCACGUCUGCUUCCUGGUUAUUUGCUCCUGUUUCGACUGGUCAGACAUGUCACACACGUGUGCUCGGCACCGGGGAGGGGGGGGGACUGGUACAAAGGAAGCCCCAGGGCCCCACCUGUAGGAGGCUGCGGUCUGCUUGAUAAGAAGGUGAGUUACAGCCCAUCCUCGCUGACGGGGGGGCUGUUUUUCCAGUCCUGUUGGCAUAGACCCUCCUCCUGCAGCACCCAGCUCGGGCUCAGCCGGGUCACACGGGAGGACAGGGGCGAGGCAGGCCUGGGACCAAGCCGCCCUGCGCGUCCCGGGGUGGGGUGUGCGGGCUUAAGCCGGGGCGCUGCUGGAAGGCUCCUUUUCUUGGCUAACAUACCAGUCAAUGGGGAGUGUUUCUCUAGGUAUGAAGCUUUAAGCUUAGCUACGAGGGAGGCAGAGGGAUGAAGACAGUCUUGGCCCUCAGGGGGCCCCGAGCCCAGGCUGCAGAGAAACAGCCCCCAGCAUGCAGCGCCUGUCAGGGGCGGCAGGGCAGAGUGGGCAGCGGGGAAGGAGGGGUCGGCCUGGGGUCUCCAUGAGCUUCAUGGGGCCUUAGAAAGACAUGGUCGCCGGCACUGAGAACAUGCCCAGGAGUCAAGGGGAGGAGGUUGCCACACUGAGAACCAAAAGGAGCCCCUUCAGUAUUAAGUCCACCGUGGGUAGACAGAGGCGGGGCGACGGGAUGGCGUGGAGAAAUGGCACCGUACCCCCAGAGAAGCAGAGUCAGGUGCCGGGAGGAGGGGCGCUGACCCAGACCCAGUGGAGGUUCUGGAACCUCACUGCGUGCGUGAACCAUCGCCAGGCUUGUUAGAAGCAGGCCUUCGACCCAGCCAGCGGGAGUCAGGGUCGGAGGCCUGGGUGGGCCAGGGCUUCCCUGGUCACAGGGUCUUCUGGCACAGUGGCUGGGGACCACACCUGAGAGCCUUUGCUCUGGACCAGAGGUGCUCCUGCUUCCUCUGUUCCUCCCCUUCUCAGGACACAGAGCAUCCUUCUCAGAUGUCCUCUCCCUGCCCUGCUCAGGCUCCCCACCUGGGCACAGUCUGGUGACACUUUCUGCACCCCCUGCUCCGGCCGUGGGUCACUGCCCUAGCCAGCCCAUGGACGGGGCCAGGCUGCAGAGAAACAGCCCUCACGGGAGAGGGUGGAGACAGGGGACCCCUUGGAGGGUCCAGCCCCCGAACCUCUCUGCGGGGCGUGGCUCAGCCGCCUGCGCCCUCGGGCCCCCGCGAGACGCCUCCCACGCCCCACCUCCCACGCUGACCCCCCCCCGGCUCUGUUCUCCUUGCUCCCCGAGUGCUCUUGCUCUGCCUCCCCACCUCCUGGCUGCUCUCACCCCACCCAGAGCCCAGCAGCCAACCUCCAGAACGGAGCUGGGAGGCUGUGACUAAUGCGCUUGAAGGUGAGUCAUCUGCUAAAUAUAAAAUCCCCUCACUCCUGCAUGCGAAAGACGCCGAGCAGCCGCGUCCCUCCCACCCGAUCCAUCCUUCCUCGGGGGCUGCUGAGGCCCCUGAAGCUCAUCGUGAACAGCAAACAAAGCCCAUCGUCCUUGACCUCCCCUGUGUGUCUCUGAAGUGGGUGCGUUUCCUGCUCUCGGAGCCGCUCUGGGAGAAAGGGGUUGAUGAGGACGGUGGGGCCUGGCCCCCGAGGAAUUAUGAAGGGGCACGAUUCACCCUCGAGACUUGCCUUCUCUUCUUUCUGCCCCGUCCUCAUUUAGGCCACUCCAUCCUCUUGCAAAGGUAAAGAUGACCCUCGGGAACUCACCUGCAUCUGGCAGGAACCCGGCGAUGCGUAACCACUCGUGACCGAUGAGCUGAUGGAGGGGUCGGGGUCGGGCCUUGCAGGUGGACAGGUGUCUCCUUAGGGCCACACAGAUCCCGUUCUGCUUGGCCUGACUGUGGUGGGUCUUUGUCAUCUCUGGAACACGAGUUCUCUAGAAUACGUGUGAAGUUUUGCGUGGAUGUUUAAUACUUGACACCGACUUUGUGAUUAUUUCAACGAUUUUUCUCAACCCCAGGAGGUGAGUGUGCCAUGACCCUGAGUUUACAGAUGAGAAAACCCAGGUUCAGAAAGAUGAAAGCAAUUGUCCAAAAGCGUAAGAGCAGCAGCAUUGGAAUCAUGACUGAAACCAGUAUUUCAGACUUUCCUUCUAGGCUAAACCAGUAACUCUUAAACUUUCCUUGAUGCCCGCCCACAGAAAGAAAAAGUAUUUUGUGCCAUGAUGCGGUGAAUGCACACACACAUAUAUGUGUAUUUGAAACAAAUAUUUGGGGAAAUAAAAAUUUGCUGCCUUCUAAUUCCAUUCUAUUCUAUUCUAUCCUAUUGCUUUCUUUCUGUUCUAAUUUUAUUUUAAAAAUUAUGUAGCCCACCCAAUUGCUUUUAUGACUCUCUGUAAGUCUGUACCUGCAGUUCGAAAAACAUUGGGUUACAGCAUACGUAAGCUAUUUUAAUAUUUCCACUGGACAGUGUCUGGAAAGCCACGUUCUAGUCCUAGGACGGGAACUAACUUUGUGACCUUAGACAAGCGUCUCACGUCCCGGGCCACAACUUCCUAGAGCCUGCGCUGUAAUGGACUUUCUGGACUUUUACUGAAUGACCAUGAUCCUUUAAUCACGGGAAGCCCUUUGCUUCUGUCUGUCUCUUUGGGAAGAAGAACAGGUGCCUCCCCCGGCCGCGGGUGUCAUGCGUGUUACCUGUGCUCAGGUGUGUCUUAGGGAGAGAGCUGGCAGGCGGCCGGGCAAGUCCCUGCUCUAGGUCAUCACAGCAUCAUGGCAAGGAGAGAAAAAUGCAGCUUCUCUUGAUCGGGAUUCGGGAUCUGAAAUGAAAUGACACAUUUUCUCCUUUACAAAGUCAUGUGAGUCCCUCACCCACCCCCUGCCCCAGUCUUUGUCUUUCUCGUCUAGGCUUUUUGAAAGGCCGCGGAAAGGCCACUUCAGUGGAGAUUAGGAGAUGUGGGUGGCGGCAGAGAGACAGACAUGGAGAACAGUGAUCAGACUGGCUAACCACUCUGACCCUCAGUCUCCUCUUCUGCAAACUUGUAACAAUAAUACCCACCUCCUGAAGUGCCUUGAGGAUCAGCUGGGAUGAGGCAUAUUUACAAACAGUCAAACCCUGGCUCUGAUCGGUCUUUACCCCAAGCACAGCCCUCGUCACCCUCGGAGAUCCCCCUCCUCUGUCAACCCCUCAGACCCGCUUUUUCCCAUCAGCAGUUUUCCCGCUUGGAACAUCUGCCUUCUUUGCUUGGGGAGUGGGUGCAGGAAGGUAUCUCCAAACCUGUCUUCCCACAUAUGCCCAGAUCAGGGGAUACAGGGGCUCCGAGUCUUGAGUUUGGGGACCCCCCCCUCCACUGCAGAGGACGGGAGGACAGCAGCUCUUCCACCUUCCCACCCAGAGAAAGGUCAUAGGACGCGCGCUUUGUGCCUUUCUCCACCUGCCUCGGGGGUGACCUCCGAGUUAGAUGCUUCCUAGCCCAGCGCUUCCUUUGCUGCUCUGCUCAGCGCGGGAGCCCAAGGUGCCUUUGAUCCCAGCGGAGCCAACCCGCUUGUGCGACUCCACGGCACGCGCCUGCCCUCUAGUGGCGAGAGAGGAAAAGGCAUGCGCAGCCCGCGGCCCGGAGAGCCCGUCUGCGGCCAGGCCUCAGGUUACUGCGGGUGACAGUGUGUGGUCACCGGGACCCUCGGCAGCGCCACCGCAGCCCAAACUAGGCCGACACGUGGAGGCCAUUCCCUGGACACACUCCAGGCCCCAGAUGUGCGGUUUCACUCACCGGUUCACUUGUUCAUUCAUUCAGCAUGUAUCUAAGGAGUGUCUACAGGUGCGUGUGGGGGCGGGGCGGGGGUCCGGGCAGUAGGGCCGCAGCAGCAAUGUCCACCCGCUCACGCGGUCUUCAUUCCAGCGAGUGUGCUGUUUGUCAGGCACGGAGGGGGUCUUCUCAACCCUCCCCACCUCCCCCCACCUUGGAGUCGAGAAAUGAGAAGACACCCACCGGGCACCUGGCUCACGCCAGCGUCUCUCAGAUCCGCUCUUUUUUUGAAACGGUCCCGACAAUUAAACGACACAAUGUAAUAGAAGCGGCUCUGAACAGAUGGCUGGCUGGACCAAGUCUGAGCCCUGGCUCCUCCCCUCCCAAGCCAUGUGACCUGGGGCUCGUCCCUGAAACCCCAGGGGCCCUGUCACCUUCCAGCGCCGUGCCAGGGGCCCGUGGACCAGGCAUGGACAGAGCACGCGGCCCCUCGGGCUCCUCAGCGCUGAUGUGGCCUGUGGCCAUGGUGGCUGGAAUGCCUUUCCACCUGGAGUUCAGAGGGAGCAGCCGAAGACUUUUGGCUUUAUCAUCAAAGGAGGGAAAUAAACUUGUAAAAAUUAAUUUGAUACAGUUCAUUCAGCCGCCCCACGUGUAGUGCAUCAGUUGUCUGUGGCUGUGUAACAGACCAUCCCAAAACUUAGGAGCUGGGAACGACAAUGUCUUAUCAUUGUGGGCUGACUGCGCGGCUUUUCCGCUGUACGUGAUAUCUGCUCUAUGGGGGCUGGAACGUCCAGAGUAGCUUCAUAUACACGUCUGGCUCCUCUGCUGGGAUGGUGGACCAGCCCCGGAGAGGGCAUGGGGGCGAUGGCCAGACCUCUCUUUCUUCAAGGCGUCUCCAGCAGGUGCCUGGACCUCCUUUAUGGGAGCUUAGCACCCUAGACGCUCUACAGGAGGCGUGGCCCCAAUGUGCAUGUCCUUAACAAGACCCCGACUACAGCGCACCGGCCAAAGAAAGUCCGGUAGCCAAGUCGGGGGCCAGCAUCGCAGCAAGCCGUGGGAGGACCUGACUUCCCAGAGGCGUGUCCGCGGGGGCACCAGGGUGGCAGUGCCCAGCUGCCAGCCCCGGUACUGGUGUGAGACGUUCCUCCGGAAGCCGUGUGGCUGCGUCCCCACAAGAUUCGGGGGUCAGAACGCACUUCGCGGCUGCCGUCUUACUGGGGGACGACUUCAAGCUGGGAGAUCCUCACGUGAUGUAGUCUGGCGUGGCCAGGAACGGUGGGAUGAGGUCUCCGGGUCUUUCUUGGUCACGAGAGCAGGUCCUAAGCCUGGCCGAGCACCCCUCCCCUCACGGUCCCUCCUUCGUUCCUCUGAGCGGGAGCCACGCCAGCGGAGACCCUGUGUGCGCACCAAACACCGUAACAUGUGCCCCCUUUCCCUCCGUCCCGAUCUGUCAUCCGUGGGGGACUGGCGGCACUGCAGGAGGAAGACGCGAUGGCGCUGAGGUCCUGCGACAAGGAGCACAUCGGAGUUCAAGGUCACCGGGCUCCAGACUCAAGCUCCAAACAAUAAUCCCCAGCUGUCAAGUCUGAGCUGGACUUUCUGUUUCCGUCUCUGGGGUGGAGGUUCGGGUGGGUCCCACCGCCCAGGUCUCCAAACGCCCGCGUCUGCUCUUACUUACCUGUGCCCACAGGGGUCACCAGGGUCGGGUUUACUCUUUUGUGAAUAAAUGUCUCUUCCUUGUAGCUCAAAGCAACAAUUUCUACCCUCCUCAUAUUGUCUUUCUUCUCUCAGGAGACACUCCUGAGAAUAAUAAUAACAGCGGUCAUUGCAGAAGCCUUCAAACAGCACUUACAGAACCUUGUGAACUGGGCCAAGCGGGGCACAGGGGUCCGUGCCCGAGGACUCGUCACUCUUCUUUUUUUUUUUUAUUUUUAAUGUUAGCAGUCCUGGAUAAUCAUCGCUCAUAUCCAGUAACUCAUCAGGGAUUGCAAGUGGUCACCUUUUUUUCCCCCGCUGUUCUUUGUUUUACGAGGGGGAGGUAAUUAGGUUUAUUGAUUUAGUCACAUUUGGAGGAGGUGCUGGGGACGGAACCCAGGGCCUCAUGCAUGCCAGGCACGCAAUCUACCACUUGAGCUGUACCCUCCCCGUGAGAAAGUCUUAACUCUAGACAAGUGAUCAACCCUUUAGGACGACAGGAUCUGAAAGGGAAGGAGUGAGUUCUGGAAAUAACUAAACAAACGUCUCAGUGGACACAUGCGAUGUCUUGCUCCUGAGGGAAAGUCUGCCUCUCUGCCUUGUGACACCCUGGGGUGCCCCAGAACCUUCCUCUGCAAAUUCGAACGGAUCAGGGGAGAAACAGUCUUUCAGAAUUUUGAGCUGGUUUGAUUACCCGCCUAACAGGAGAAAUGUUAGGAAGAAAGAGUGUUUGCUUUGUGUUCCCAGCGUCCACCCUUGGGAAGGAAUAUGUCCCACAAACAUCCACGGGGUCUGUUUGGUUUUGUUCCCGGGGCUACGCACAUGCAGUGUCCCCGGGGCUAGGAGCAUCCCACCUCAUGCUUAGGGUCAGGGAAGAUUUUUGUUUUAUGUUUAAAUUCACAUCCUAUAAAAAUCACCCUUUUAAUAAUGUGCACUUUGGCAGUUUUUAGUAUAUUCAGACUUGUACGACCACCAUCACUACCUAUUUCUAGAACAGUUCAAAACAUUUCCGUCACCCCAAAGGAACCUCAUGCUCACUAGGUGUCCCUCUCAAUCCCCUCCCUCUUCUGUCCCCCAGCCCCUGGCAGCCACUCAUCUACUUUCUCUCCAGAUCUGCUUAUUCUGGUCAUUUCCUAUAAAGGAAGUCACAAAAUAUGUGGCUUUUUGUGACGUUUUCUUUCACUGAGCACAGCGUUUUCAGGGUUCAUCUGUGUUGUAGGCUGAAUUAGUACUUCAUCAUUUUUUAAAUUGAGAAAUAGUUUAUCAAUAACACGGAUCUACAAUAGUAUGUAAGUUUCAGGUGAACAACAUAGUGAUUCUGAAUUUUUAAAGGUUAUAUUCCAUUUACAGUCAUUAUAAAGCACUGAAUAUAUUCACUGUGCUGUACUGUAUUUCCUUGUAGCUUAUUUAUUUUAUACAUAGUAGUUUGUGACUCUUAACCCCCUACCUCUCUCUUGCCCCUCGCCUCCCCCCCCCGCCACUGGUAACCACUGCUUUGUUCAUUACAUCUGUGAGUCAGUUGCCUUUUUGUUAUAUUCACUACUUUGUUUUAAUUUUUAGAUUCCAGGUAUAAGUGAUAUCAUAUGGUGUUUGUCUUUCUCUGGCUGAUUUAUUUCACUUAGCAUAACACCCUCCAAGUCCAUCCACAUUGCUGCAAAUGGCAAAAUUUUGUUCUUUUUUAUGACUGAGUAGUAUUCCAUUGCAUAUAUACCACAUCUUCUUCAUCCGCUGAUUUGCUGAUGGACACCGAAGUUGCUUCCAUGUCUUGGCAAUUGGAAUUAAUGCUGCUAUGACCACUGGGAUGCAUAUGUCUUUUUGAAUUAGUGUGUUUUCAAUAGUCCCAGGAGUGUGGAUCAUACAGUAGUUCUAUUUUUAGUGUUUUGAAGACAUACUUCAUUCAUUCUUAUCCACUGUGUGGAUUGACCACAUCUUAUUUAUCUAUUCAUUGGUUGACACAUUCUGGGAGGAUCUUAGUACCAGUGUGAGCUGAACUUGGAACCCAUAGACACAAGUAACUUGUUCCCUUUCCUGAUGACUUUGCUAACAUGCCAAAAUUGGUGCUUGAGGAAGAUGUCUGUGCAGGGCGGGCCUGUGAAGAUGAGGUGGGUGGGGAGCAGAAUGGGGCAUGAUGGGGUCUGGAGCUUCCUUCUACUAAGGAGGAGAGAAAGUCGAAGCCCCUCCCCAGGAGUCUCUGUGCAAGGACCAAGCCUGAGCUCGGUCUGCAGCUCUGUCCAUCAAGCCGUAAAGCCACAGGCUGAAGAGCUCGCUUGUUCUGGGGGUGGGAGGGAGCCCAGGGCUGGGGUAACCUUGUCUCCGAUUUCUCCCAGAAGCUCUGCUGAGAACCAGCUGCCCGCUGGUUCCUGGAGUGUGCGUGGCUGUGGCUGACUCUUGCUCAACAAUCUGCCAGAUCCUGUUAGGGAGAUGAGUGAUGUAGCUGUCCUCGUUCGUCAGGGCCUGCACCGCACAAAGGCCCAUUGCUGCGUGUCCGGGGUGGGUGGGGGGCCUGCCAAGGCACCUGUGAGCCACCCUGACGAUGAGCUCUCUCAGCCCAGCUUGGCUGGGGAGGCCCUGGGGGUGUAGCCCGUCCCCUGCAUGCCCUGCACUGAGUCAGAGCUGGGAGCAUUGGGACAAAGCAGGACAGAGGCCGGAGCACAGCUGAGAGUGUGGGGUUCCUGGCCAGGUGCAGAUGGAGCUCAGGUCCCUGGCCCCUGCAAGUGUGUGAGUGUGAGUGCGAGUGUGUGUGCGGGGCUGGGGCUGGGACCGUCCACAGAGGAGACCUUCUAGAGGGUGAAGCCGCCCUCCCUGGAGCCCAAGGACCUGUUGCUGGGACCCCCCACCAGCAGCCUCAACACCUGGGGGGUCAGAGCACAGCGAGCACCGACCAGAGGAGCCCGGAGGAGCCACGGGGUGAGUGAAGCUCUGGACAGACUGGGUGCGGCUGGGCUGGGAGAGAUGCGGAGAAGCCGGGACCCACAAAGAGAGCUGGAGAGAGAGCCCCGAGCUUCCCAGCCCCGCCCCCUUGUGGCGCGUAGUGGCCACACCCCUUUCCCGGGUCCUGGGGGCAGAUGCCACCCAAGAGGGGCCGCAAAAGUGGAAGGAUAGAGGCAAGUUUAUGGCCAACGGAGUCUUCCCAAGGGGGGCAGUGGGUGGUCGUCUAAUGUCCAAAGGCAGGACAGUGGGGCCCCAGCCAGUGGUGGGGAUUUUCAGACCCCCAGCUCAUGCUGCCGGGGAGGAGGGGAGGAGGCAGAGGGAGGGGUCUGGACAAGACACAAGCCCAGCUUUCACUCCCAGGUGCCCCGUCCCGAUGGCCAGGGCCCUGGGGAGGCGCUGGAAUAAACACCCGUGGGCCUUGGAACACGGAGGCAGGAGGUGCUGUCACCUGAUGGGCCUUUCAGAGACCCGAGGCCGAGUCCCGGAUCCUGGUGCACUUGCCACUGCUGGUCACCCUCCUCCUAGCCUUCUGCCUCCUCCGGGUGGUGGCGGGUCCCUGCCUCAUGUCCCAGCGGGAGCCUCUGAGGCCGGCUGGACCCCUCACCGCCUACAGCCUGGGCCUGGUGGCCCUCUUGGGGUACGUGUUCUAUGAGUGAAAGUGUAGAGGUCAAGAGCAGGAUCCAUUCUCCACCUCACACCGGAAAGAACCACCCCCACUCCUGUUUCUGCCUGGGCUCUGGUAACCUUGGCCCUGUUUUCUGAGCCCUGAACCCACUGAUCCUUCCAGAUGCCUUGUUCUCAGCAGUCAGCCAGCGCGCACUGGGUGUGCGAUUCGUGCCUGGCGGCGCUGGGAUCUGCGGGGUCCCCACUGUGGAAGGCACACCUGACCUCCAGGUGCUCACGGUCUGGAGGGGAUGCAGAUACAGGCAACUGCGUGUCAAUGCGAGCAGGGCGGCAGAAAGUGCUCGGGAACGGGGCAGGGACCCAGCUGCAGUGUCGGGGAAAGCUUUGCAGAGAACGUGGUCUGACACUUAAAGUGGUCCUCACGGCGAGGCAGUGCGCUGCGCCCUUCGCGAGGAUCUGCUCAUCCCAUCCUCCUGACAGCUCUGUCAUGAGGCACAGAGCAGGUAAGUACCUUAGCAGGUGGCCGGGCACCCUGACCUGAAGAGCUCACCUCGAUCCCUCCAGCCUUUGUACCAGCCGGGACCAGACAGCCAGCUCCGCCGGCUCCACCUGCUGGCGGGUUCUAGAAAUGAGGCCCGUGUCUCCCCAGCUCCCAGACUUGUUUUGAAAUCAACCAUAGUGGGAGGCUUUACACCCUAAGAAUGGGCAAAUCGCCCCCCCACCACCUGAAAGGCAGUUAAGCACGUAGCACCCCGACUCUGGGCUCUCCCCUGUUUCACGAUGUGCAUGUCUGGCUCCCCUCCAAACUGGCCAGUGCUUCAAAGGCAGGACCGUGUCUUUCUUCUCUUUGUAAAGACAGGUUCCACUUCGUGUCUGGUACCACGGGGAAGACACUGACAACUUGCGAGGCAUGAGACAUGCCCUGCAGAAACUGUCAUUUCUUUUUCUUUUUUUUAAAUCUUGUUUCGUUUUGGUUUUGGAUUUUUGGGGAGCGGAGGUAAUUCGGGUUAUUAUUAUUGUUUAGUGGAGGUCCUGGGGCUUGAGGGCAGGGCCUCAUGCACGCCAAGCAAGCACCCCGCCACUGAGCUGUACCCUCCCCCGCCGAACUUGCCAUUUAAUCAUGGUGACACCUGACCCCGCAGCCACCAUGAUCCUUUGAAAGUCUGCGGUGCCCGUGUCGGCUUCCUGCUCAGAAGCCCUCAGUGUCUCCCUUUGCCAACGUGACCGGAAUGCAGAGUCCCUCCAGGCAGGAAUGUGUAUCUGUUUUGUUAUUGAAGUGGCUCGGGGCUCAGAGCAGGACCCAGUGUGGAGAAGCACUUAGCACCAUUCGAUGCAUCAUUAUCAAAUGAAUAAAUAAGGGAUAAAGUUCAGGCUCCUUAAAACAGCCUGCAGGACCCCGUGUCAGUCAAUUCCGAGCCCUCUCUCUGCCCCUGUGGCUGCCCCUCCCCUGGCAGGCGCCUCCACCGCACCCCACUGAUCCCCGGCAGCCCCGGGGAGCUAGGAGAGGUCCAGACACUCUCCUCCCAGCGCGGAAAUCCCUCGCCCUCCCCUCCGGUCAUCCAUGGCCUCCUCAUUCCCAGGCCACUGCUGAAUUUCGGAGCAGCUCCUGUUUCCUACUCUUCAUCUGACCCCAUCCUUGGAAGUGAGGGUGGUCUCCUGCCUCCUCAGGGGGCUCUCGGCUUCUCCAGGGCAGGGCUGAUAGGUGUAGGUUCCAGGUCCCCUCCUGACUUAAGGUCCCACACACAGUAAGUGCCCCGUGUGGGUUUGGGGUCCACAUUUGCCCACCUCAGCAAGAUACGUGCAAGUCCCAGCCCCCGAUCCAGCCACUCUGUGGAGUUUCUCUGAUGGGCAAUCGCUCACCAAGCGUUGGUGAGGGUUUGGUGGGGCUGGGGGAAGUCGGCGUCCAGAACAUGACAGGAAGAGGCAUCAGCCUCUCGAGCCUUCAGCCAGCCGGGCCCCACCACGGUGGGGGUGGGACAGGCUUCAGGACUUGCUCUUUUCCUGUUCUCUUCCUCCUAGUUCAUGGCCACCUCGCUCCUAGCCAACUACAGCUACUUCUGCCAGCUGGUGGACUACAGCCAAGUGGGCUCGGGAUAAGGAUGGCAAGCGUGUGCUGAUGGUGCCCCUUCUCAAAGGCCAUUGACACAGUGAGUGGGUGAGUGCCUGUCGCUUAAAUGAAAUUGUCUCCAUCAGCUGGGUCCGGGGUGGUUUUGAAGGCUCUUUGUGUGAACAUGUCCCUGCAGCGUUCCUCUCAGCCACACCUGAGGCUGCUGUCAGAGCCAACCCUUGAUCCCAGGACCUGGAGGAAGAAGGAUGCUCAUGGAUGAAGCAUUUGCUCCCUUUAGCAACCAUGUUCCAGGUUCAGUGAAACUGGGAGGCUAAACAAAUUUUAGAAACCCUGAGAUUAGGUGGCAAAGGCCAUCUUCAAGUGCGAUGAGGAGAAGAGGCCCUGCUCGUGAAUCUAGAAGGCUUGCAGGAUUGCGUGGGGCGGGGCGAGGUCAAAAUUUUGGAAUCGUGAUGAAGGUAGAAGCUUCUUUCGUAUCAAUCUCUUGCCAAAAUGGAGUCUAAACAGAGAAACUUUGGGAAUUUUUUUAUGGUUGUGUGGGCCCUGGGCUGGGGUUCAACCCCUGAGUUCUCUCCCCAGUGCCUGAGGGUGGCGGGGGGCAAUAAUACUGGAAAGAUCCCAGUCUCUGAAGCCAGGCUGUGUUCAAAUCCCAGCUUGGCUUCACAUUAGGGGUAUCACCCUGAACGAGUUACUUGAGCUCUGUGCCUUGGUUUUGCCAUCUGUAAAAUGGAGAUGAGUAUAAACCACACGCCAUUGUGUUUGUAUGUACAGCACCUGUACACAGCAGGUGCUGCGCGGGCAUCUGCAUGGUGUUGCCUUCCUUGACUGUCAGCCUCCCUGUCAGCAAAACAGGAAGCAUCACUCUGUCCUUGGUUGUUGAGGCCGCAGGAGAAGCGUCUGGAGGAAUAAGGCUCAGGCGUGGCACUCCUUUUUCCUCCCCAGGUCUUCUUUAUUUUACAAAAGAAGCCAGAGUCGGUCACCUUCCUGCAUGUCUACAGCCAUGACACCAUGCUCUUCAACUGGUGGGCUGCAGUCAAAUAUGUGCUGGGGGGUCAAGGGUCAGCUCAUGGCCAUUGCUGUCCACUCCUCCUACAAUCUCUUUGCCUUGUGCCCCUUCCCCGAUGGGUUCAACGUGACUGUCCUACUCUACACCCUCAGCCUCAUCACCCUUUUCCUCGACUUCUACCACCAGACAUAUCUGAGGGGCAAGAGGGAUAAGCUGGCUUAAGGGGUGGGACCGAGGACUGAAACCAGCAGAGAGUUUGGUGGAAGACGGCCCUACUCGCAGCCCACUGAGCUGAGCAGGCUCCCCUGGGCUGGCAUUUCAUCCUACGAGGGGAGGAGGAGAUUUUCCUUCUUUCCAGAGGUCAUGAGGAUGAAAACGGACCCACCUUCCUGAACCUACUGUUGUUACGGCCUUUCUCAGGUGGAGUUGUUACUGCGUGUCUGCCUCCUUCCUCAGCUAGACCUGAGCCCCUCACAGGAGGACCUGUCUUACUCCAGUGUCCCCACACCUGGCACAACGAUUUUCAAUAAAUGUACAUUUGGAUCCUUGUCUUCCCCCACUAGCAGUCGUGGCCUCUGGUGAGGAGCGGGCUGGCAGCCCGGCUGGGAGCAUAGAAGAAGUCAAGGCUGGCUUGAUCCCUCACCUUGCAGGGCAAGAUGAUGACUGAGAACAUCCAAGAAGGAGUGUGGGUCUGUGUGAUUUCUAGCUUGGCUGUGUAAACAGUUCCCCUGCACACCUCUCUGUCUCUUCACUAGUGCCUAUGUAUGCAUUUACAGAGGUGUGUGAUUCUGUGUGUGUGGAUGGGGCAGCAAAGAGGGCUAUGUCUGUACAUUUGAAUACUUGUUCUCAAAUACACCCAUGUGUUUCCAUUUAUGAUUUUCUCUGUUGGUGUUUUUUGCUGGUCUCUUCUAUGAAUCUCUGCAAAUGCUACAGCGGCAAAUAAAAGCUCCUGGCAUCAAUAACUCUCCUGUUCUGAUGAGAGGCAUGGAAGCUCGUAAGAAGUCUCUGAAUACAUGUUCCACCAAGGGCCCCCCUAAGAGGAAUGUGGAAAGGGGGAAUGGGGUAAAAUGAACACAGCCAUCCACUUUGCAGAGAGGGAGCCUGGGGCCAGCAAAAGGGAGCACACAGCCGAGAGCACAGAGGAUGGCGGAAGCAGACGUCUGCUGGACUGUCUAAGACUGGAACUGGAUGGGCAUCUGGAAUGCAUUUUCCCUGGGAGCUCUCUCUGCCUCCAGGAUGCUGCUUCUUUCUUAUAACGUCUCCCCAUAGCUCUUUCCCGUCACAAGGAAAUUUCUUAUUUUGCGAUGUCUCGACAUCAAGAAUAUUAAAGACCCAUUAACAUUUAAGCAAGGCUAUUUGGGGACUAUUUAUCCAUCAGGUGCUCUACUUAAUUAACUCAAGGCCAUGCAGGGCGGCAU
Camelus dromedarius (Arabian camel) is the source of this 17652-nucleotide long non-coding RNA. RefSeq lists it as uncharacterized. NCBI's taxonomy places the organism in Eukaryota, Metazoa, Chordata, Mammalia, Artiodactyla, Camelidae. The record is from RefSeq and is a predicted model, not a curated record. The transcript has 5 exons.